RNAcentral lists this long non-coding RNA (767 nucleotides) under Danio rerio (zebrafish). Its description in RNAcentral is "si:ch211-218d20.10 (ENSDARG00000093137.2)". The record is from RNAcentral. Lineage: Eukaryota; Metazoa; Chordata; Actinopteri; Cypriniformes; Danionidae.
UGUGGGGGUUCAGUUUGUUAGCGCUAACUUAGCUAAAGUUAGCUCACCUAAGUUAUAGCAGCACAUUAAGGAUGGAUAUUAAAUGCAGAAACAUAUGCAACAGUUAAGUAGUUUGUGUUUAACGUAAGAGAAAGUACAACUUAAAGUUUGUGUUUUAGAGAUUUAUUCCAUAAGUUUUUUUAAUGCUGCAUAGUGAAUAAAUUACAGAUUUACAAUUUAUUUUAACUUAAAUUACAUUUACUGAUGUUUACAGAACCAUUUAAACUGUAUGCACCUCAUUCUAAAAUGCAUGUUCUUGGUCUUUAGAUACCAAAGUGAUUUUGUUACCUGUGGAUCUUCAAACUUCACAUCCAGAGUUGUGAGGAAUCAGAGGUGCAUGCAGCUGCCCACGGGAAAAAUUUGCCAUCAGCCCAACACAGUUUGGAUUAUCAUAGGACUGUCAGAGGUUUGCCAAACCUGUCAAAUGCAUGAUGGCUCCUGUUUGGACUUACCGAUGUCCUCGACUUCAAGUAUCCAUCAAAACUGUAUACAUUUGAGAUAUAUCAGAGACUCUUUGUGGGGCUGGACAUUAUGCAUCCUAAAUCUUCAUCAAAAUAUGCAAAUCUCCUCACUGAGUUGCCUUAGAUGAUUUCUCAAUAGGAUCUGGUAUUAUUAAUGUUUUUAUUUAUGUAUUGUGUACGUGUAGCCACAUUAAUGGCCUAUUUUGUAGUCACUAUUAAAAGGAACAUUGAUUGAUAUUGAAUACAUGUUAUGGUCUUUAAUCCAUC